This 303-nucleotide ribosomal RNA is filed under the name uncultured bacterium. Its description in RNAcentral is "partial 16S ribosomal RNA". It matches the Rfam family "Bacterial small subunit ribosomal RNA", at positions 507 to 809 of the family's 1533-position model. The record is from RNAcentral.
AGCAGUCGCCGCGGGAAUACGUAGGGUGCAAGCGUUAAUCGGAAUUACUGGGCGUAAAGCGUGCGCAGGCGGUUCGUUAAGACAGAUGUGAAAUCCCCGGGCUUAACCUGGGAACUGCAUUUGUGACUGGCGGGCUAGAGUAUGGCAGAGGGGGGUAGAAUUCCACGUGUAGUAGUGAAAUGCGUAGAGAUGUGGAGGAAUACCGAUGGCGAAGGCAGCCCCCUGGGCCAAUACUGACGCUCAUGCAUGAAAGCGUGGGGAGCAAACAGGAUUAGAUACCCGAGUAGUCCCUGUCUCUUAUAU